RNAcentral lists this ribosomal RNA (2013 nucleotides) under Triticum aestivum (bread wheat). RNAcentral describes it as "partial small subunit ribosomal RNA". The record is from RNAcentral. Lineage: Eukaryota; Viridiplantae; Streptophyta; Magnoliopsida; Poales; Poaceae.
AUGUCUUCGCCUCAUCCCGUUUCCAGGCACCGACGACGUUUUACUGGCUCCCACUAUGAUAAGCCAUCCGUUGGCAUAUGUCGUACCUACCACCCGACAUUUGGCGCCCACCGUGGGGCCAGGUGCACCGUCGUCCGGAGACCUGUUCUGGACGGGAACCCUUUUUUCCCCCGCGAGCGCAGCCUGCCUGCUAUGCCCGACGGCGCUUGCCCCGACGCGCUGCAAGGCGUCGACGACGCGUGCGCGGCAAGCUGCCUCACCGAUCUUCUUGGCGAGACUCGCAUCUCCGACGAGCCCGCGUCCGACGCGGGCACGGACUACCCCGAGAGCCGCCUCAUCAGCCUCCUCGACCAGCUUCACGUCUUCAGCGAGCUUGCUGUAGACUUGGAGUCGGUCGGCUCCACCGACCUGAUGCUUGUCGACUCCGACACGGCAUCGUUCGACGCCUACCCCUCCGACGUGGUAGUCUUCGACGACCCUCUCCCUCGAGCUGACAGCGGCAGCAGCGCUGUCACUGAGGUGCUGGUCAUCAGCCACGUCGCCGACUCGGGCGAGAGCGCCCACGACGCACUACAAGCGGCGAUGCAUGACCUAUCCGUCCCCAUCCCGGCCGAUGCCGACGCCGAGACCCUGGAGGCACGUCGUCUCGCCCUCAUCGCCGAGAGCCAGAAGAUAGCCUCCAUGAGACGCCUCACUGAGGCCCACCAGCGCGAAGUCGACCGCUCCGCUUUUGGUACGCCGCCUCACGGCGGGCCGAGCCGAGUCAGCCUCGUCAAGAAGCACGACGCGGCCAUCGCCAGCAUGCUGGGGGCGGACCGCCCGGUCUACGCCACACCGCUCGAGAAUCUGCGAGCCGCUCAGGCGGCAGCAGAAGAGCUGAACGGGCUGGGGGCUGAUGAGCUCCCCUACAUGACAAGACGUAUCCAGCAGCUGAUCGAUGCGGCCGCAGAACGGCAUGAAGCCGGCGCCCGCGCUGAGAGUCCUCCCCCGCGCCGAGAGCACGCCGCGACAUCCCGGUCGCCGACUGCGAGCGGCGCCCGCGCAAGGAAGGACAAGGAGUCGGCUGCUAGCCGCAGCCGGAGUCGAAUCACCAUCGAGCGCGGCGCGGAAGGCCGCUCUCGGGCGGUGGAGCGCCAGGGCAAUCCGCCUCCUCCCCCGCCUCGUGGAAAGAGAUGUCCCACCCAGCCGCCUGUCACGCAUCCGACUCUCGGUGGCCGACUAGGCCGCCGCGAGGGAGUCGACGAGAACGACGCCCGCCACCGGAUCGACCGCCUAGCUCGAUCCCUGGAGCUAGAAGAAGACGAUGUCGGCCCGCCAUGCUUUGGCCCCCGCAUCCGCGACGAGCCCUUCCCCAAAGGGUUCUCGCUCCCCAGAGACACGUCCAAGUACAACGGCUCUGUGAAGCCGGAAGAUUGGCUCAUCGACUACUCUACCGUCGUCAGUAUAACGAACGGCAACAGGCGCGUAGCCGUGAAGUACGUCCCUCUCAUGCUGCAAGGCACGGCACGCACCUGGCUCAACAGCCUCAAGCCCUACAGCGUCAACAACUGGCUGGACUUCACGGAAGUCUUCGUCCGCAACUUCACCAGCACGUACAAGCGGCCUCCCAAGCCCCGCCAGCUCUCCCUAUGCGUCCAAGGGCCCAGCGAGUCGACCCGCGACUACCUCAUGCGGUGGGCCGAGCUCCGCAACUCCUGCGAGGGGGUGCACGAGGUUCAAGCUAUCGAGUACUUCACCGUCGGGUGCCGAGAGGGCACCGUCCUCAAGCACCGACUCCUCUGCGAUGAGCCGGCUACCCUCGACGAACUGCUGGUCAUUGCGGACAAGUACGCCACAGCCGACUCCUCGAUAAAGACCGAGCUCCGAGUGGACGCCUCUAGGAAGGUGCUCGCUCCGGCUCCUAAGACGCCGGCUGGCGACUCCAACCGGCGCCCCUACCAGAACGACCACAAGCACAAGGCCCCUAUGUCGCCUUCCACCAGUCGGCAGAUGGCCACAGUCGAAGACGAGUAG